GGGUCCAAGAGGCUCAAGAGGUCCCAGAGGUCCCACUGGUAAACCAGGUCCAAAGGUAAUUGUCAAGCACACUGUAUAGGUUGGCUAUGAGCUGUUUCUUUUAAAUAAAUGUAAAGCCUUAAACAUACUCUCUUUCCUUUCCAGGGCACUUCAGGCAAUGAUGGUCCUCCUGGCCCACCAGGCGAAAGGGGACCACAAGGGCCUCAGGGGCCUGUUGGAUUCCCCGGACCGAAGGGACCUCCAGGUCCACCUGGAAAAGAUGGCUUGCCUGGGCACCCAGGACAGCGGGGUGAGACUGGUUUUCAAGGAAAAACUGGUCCUCCUGGUCCUGGUGGUGUUGUUGGCCCUCAGGGUCCUACUGGUGAGACUGGACCAAUUGGUGAAAGAGGCCAUCCAGGUCCUCCUGGUCCCCCAGGUGAACAAGGCCUCCCGGGUGCUGCAGGAAAAGAAG
This 451-nucleotide long non-coding RNA is filed under the name Lonchura striata (white-rumped munia). RNAcentral describes it as "domestica (Bengalese finch) lncRNA (ENSLSDG00000017659.1)". Lineage: Eukaryota; Metazoa; Chordata; Aves; Passeriformes; Estrildidae. The record is from RNAcentral.